RNAcentral lists this ribosomal RNA (425 nucleotides) under uncultured bacterium. Its description in RNAcentral is "partial 16S ribosomal RNA". It matches the Rfam family "Bacterial small subunit ribosomal RNA", at positions 354 to 796 of the family's 1533-position model. The record is from RNAcentral.
GUGGGGAAUAUUGGACAAUGGGCGCAAGCCUGAUCCAGCCAUGCCGCGUGAGUGAUGAAGGCCUUAGGGUUGUAAAGCUCUUUCGUCAGGGAAGAUAAUGACGGUACCUGAAGAAGAAGCCCCGGCUAACUUCGUGCCAGCAGCCGCGGUAAUACGAAGGGGGCUAGCGUUGCUCGGAAUCACUGGGCGUAAAGCGCACGUAGGCGGCUUUCUAAGUCAGGGGUGAAAUCCUGGAGCUCAACUCCAGAACUGCCUUUGAUACUGGAGAGCUUGAGUUCGAGAGAGGGAAGUGGAACUGCGAGUGUAGAAGUGAAAUUCGUAGAUAUUCGCAAGAACACCAGUGGCGAAGGCGGCUCACUGGCCCGAUACUGACGCUGAGGUGCGAAAGCGUGGGGAGCAAACAGGAUUAGAAACCCUAGUAGUCC